Molecule: long non-coding RNA, 1917 nt
Organism: Sorghum bicolor (sorghum)
Lineage: Eukaryota; Viridiplantae; Streptophyta; Magnoliopsida; Poales; Poaceae
Exons: 5
Source: RefSeq, a predicted model, not a curated record
GUUGGGCUCCCGGCCCUGACGCUGUUCCCCAUUCGCGAUCCCCUCGACAGAGAAGACCGGCUCGGCGGGCGGCCGCCGGCCUGGGCACCUGGCGCGGCCGCGCGGGCUCGGCGCUCCCGCAGGCGGCGGCCCGGGGAGUCGGCAGGCUGGCAGGGGGCGGUGGGCAGAGUCGCAGAGAGAGAGAGAGAGAGAGAGAGAGAGAGAGCAUUUGGAGCAGAACAAAGCAAUUGCAGUGGUCUGAUUUGCAGAUUUGGGUGAGGAUUUGUUUUGGUUUGCAAAAUGAAGAACAAAUCAGUUAAUUUGGAGACAUUGUGGGAUAGAGCAGUAGAGGCAAGAAAGGUAGAAUCAGCCUCCCCAUCAGUGUUGCAACCAGUUACUGUCGAGAGUGACGCUCAGCCUCAGAAUCCAUCUGUUGUUCCAGUUACUACAGAGCCAGAAGCCCAGAAUAAGAUAGCAAUCAGUCAGAGAAGUGCAGAACCUGAGAUAGGUAGCAAUGGACCUGAUAUAUAGCAGCAACCACAGAAGUGGGCGAAGAAGAAGAACAUCAGCAGUACUCUACAGAAGGAGCUGAACCUUCUACUUGGUCCCCUAUCAGAGAUGGUGAUGACUCAUAGUAUGAAUCAAUCAAGUGAUGAAGCUAUCUAUGACAUUGGCCUUCUCUCUCAUUAUCCAGGAAAGAGGAUUCCAAUCAAAAGAUAAUGAUGUUAAUGACCGGAAUUCUGUGAUCAAGGCAUACAUUGCAUUAGGGCCGUGUCAGCAACGGAGUCACAAUUUUCCUGUAAGGAGCGUUGGAGCACGAUGAAUUCAGUCCUUGGCAUACUUUUACUGAGUCAACAUCAGCAAUAUAUGUCCAGAGCAAGCCGAUAAGUGGACCAGCAAUCAUCAUGAAGACCGUUGGAACAAAGUUUCAACAGCCCGUUUCGCUUGAGCUCACUACAAGUCUACAACAUUGCCAUAAACAUAUAGUAUAAACCAAGAAAUGUAUGACAGCAGCUCCUUGUUUAAAAAAAGAAGCGCAAAACAAACAAGAGCAGCGGCAGGUUAUCUUACAGUGGUUUGGUUGCAGCUGCAGCCUGCUGCCAACGGCUAUUAAUAGGCGCCAGAAGCAUUGUGAUUUUGUAGCUAGCAAUCAUCCUCGAUCGAUGCCUGGGAAAAUGCCAGCAAACGGCUGCGUUUUCCUGGCUCGGUUGCUUCUUGUUAUCUUGUUGGUCAUGUUACUAAUGAUUCACAGAUGUACAUCAGCAAUUAUACAUGGUGAAGCACCGGGUGAUCCUCCGGUACAGGGAGGUACUGAUUGCUGUGCUAUUGGGGGCUGUUGUGUAUGAUAUACAGUCUUUUUCUGCCCCCAUAUGCAUCCUGCAGGGCAGUGAGCAUUCUCAGGGGGACAGUGUUGUGUGGACGACCGUGUCUAUGCUCGCUUGAGCAUCUCUCUUGUCUUUUAUUCUACUUUUAAAUUCGUAGUAUAAGUGUAACUGAGGUAUAUGGAUUUGAGAAAUUUUACAGUGCUUUGAAUAAAUGGCAGUCACUCAUUUGGUGAGAUCUAAUAAUGGUUAAAAAAUAGGAAGAACCUAUCAAGAGGAACUUAAGGUAUGGACUGGAACCUAAAUUUAGUGGACCAUUGUAAAUCUAUUUCAAAGGGUAUAACUGUACUUCCAACACAAACAAAUCCAUGACCCAUAAUCCAUGACACCAGCAAGCAGCAGUAGUCAACAUGCUGCUGCAUAAAACAGAGGAUAGAUCAACAUGUUGCGGCUGCAAGAUUAUCAGACACCUGUAAUGCUGUAAAGAUUUUGUUACGGACACAUGUAAGAGAUCUCUGUAAUAUGAAAUAAGUGCUUUGAGCAGGCAGAAAUUAGCUAACAGAAAACAAACAGAAUCCCAAGAGCAAUGAUCGAAUAAGAUGGAACCUUUUUGUUU